GCAUCCUACGGGACGCAGCAGUGAGGAAUAUUGGUCAAUGGGCGCGAGCCUGAACCAGCCAAGUCGCGUGAGGGAAGACGGUCCUAUGGAUUGUAAACCUCUUUUGUCGGGGAGCAAAAGACGCCACGCGUGGCGUUCCGAGAGUACCCGAAGAAAAAGCAUCGGCUAACUCCGUGCCAGCAGCCGCGGUAAUACGGAGGAUGCGCGCGUUAUCCGGAUUUAUUGGGUUUAAAGGGUGCGCCGGCGGCAGAUCAAGUCAGCGGUAAAAUUGAGAGGCUCAACCUCUUCGAGUCGUUGCAACUGGU
RNAcentral lists this ribosomal RNA (305 nucleotides) under uncultured bacterium. RNAcentral describes it as "bacterial SSU rRNA". It matches the Rfam family "Bacterial small subunit ribosomal RNA", at positions 334 to 637 of the family's 1533-position model. The record is from RNAcentral.